CGCGGCCUAUCAGCUUGUUGGUGGGGUAAUGGCCUACCAAGGCGACGACGGGUAGCCGGCCUGAGAGGGCGACCGGCCACACUGGGACUGAGACACGGCCCAGACUCCUACGGGAGGCAGCAGUGGGGAAUAUUGCACAAUGGGCGAAAGCCUGAUGCAGCGACGCCGCGUGAGGGAUGACGGCCUUCGGGUUGUAAACCUCUUUUAGCAGGGAAGAAGCGAGAGUGACGGUACCUGCAGAAAAAGCGCCGGCUAACUACGUGCCAGCAGCCGCGGUAAUACGUAGGGCGCAAGCGUUAUCCGGAAUUAUUGGGCGUAAAGAGCUCGUAGGCGGUUUGUCGCGUCUGCUGUGAAAUCCCGAGGCUCAACCUCGGGCCUGCAGUGGGUACGGGCAGACUAGAGUGCGGUAGGGGAGAUUGGAAUUCCUGGUGUAGCGGUGGAAUGCGCAGAUAUCAGGAGGAACACCGAUGGCGAAGGCAGAUCUCUGGGCCGUAACUGACGCUGAGGAGCGAAAGGGUGGGGAGCAAACAGGCUUAGAUACCCUGGUAGUCCACCCCGUAAACGUUGGGAACUAGUUGUGGGGUCCAUUCCACGGAUUCCGUGACGCAGCUAACGCAUUAAGUUCCCCGCCUGGGGAGUACGG
This 643-nucleotide ribosomal RNA is filed under the name uncultured Actinomycetes bacterium. RNAcentral's name for it is "bacterial SSU rRNA". It matches the Rfam family "Bacterial small subunit ribosomal RNA", at positions 232 to 885 of the family's 1533-position model. Lineage: Bacteria; Bacillati; Actinomycetota; Actinomycetes. The record is from RNAcentral.